AUAUUCCUUUUCGUUCAGUUCAUUCUUAUGCAUGUAAUAUUUAUUGGUUCUGCAUACUUUCUGUAUUUUAGAUUCAAUUUGGACACUUUAUGCUUGUAUAUGAUUAAAACUCGUCAUACUGCUAACAAUGUUCCACAUAAUUACCUGCUAGUGAUGUAUAAAAUAUGCACAUUAUUAUAAUAAUAUUAUGAAUGUGUUAAAACUCUUUUAAUGGUUGGUUGGACUGACAAGUCUGUCAAAAAAUCACUGCAUUUUCAUGGGAUUAGUGUUCAUUUUUUCUAGUUUCAGGACAUCUUCGAGGAGGUUAUUUAAGUCUUAAAUUUAUAAAAGAAAAUUAAGUUAAUGAACAUUUGUUUUAAUUAUGGGCUAAAAUAAUUCUUAAAAAGUCUUUAAAGAGAAGUCUAAAAAAAUCCAUCAUCAUUUCAUCAGUUGCCAUCGUUACCCUGCUGCCGAUUGCUGCUAACAUCUCGUAAAUAAAUAAACAAAGCCCGCGAAUAAACAACGUCCGCGCAAAAUCAUCACAACAUGCAAAUGGAGGCCCAUUAAUUGGAUUUUUAAAUAUCCUCCAUCACUUCUAAUUUAUGGGGAAGUUACAUGCAUACCAACCAAUUCAUAUGUAUUUACAUUUCUGAUACCUCAACUUUGUUUUUAACAUUUAUGCCCUUUAUCCUUCAUGUUAGAACAAAAUUAACAGCAUUUUAACUUUUAAUAAGUAAAAAUAUAUUAAAAAUUUCAUUUCAGUUGGGUGCUCCAUUGUUGUUAGUUGGGUUUCUUAAUUAUCUCACAUGCAAAUAGAAGACUAUCUUCAACAGCGAUGUUUCUAAGCGUAACUUUUGAGGAAGUUGCCCAUCUUAAGAGCACUCCAGCCUGAGCAUGCAACCUUCAUACCAAAAUACGUUUGGCUUUCAUUCAAUUUAUAGAUUUUCACAAUUUCUUUCACUUAAAUAACUGAAGUCUUCCUAAGUAUAUUCUCAACCAAGAAUCAUCCACCAGGCAACAGCCGGUUAUGAUGCUGUGAGAAACAAAUCAAACCUUCAGGAGCCUUCUUCAUCUCCUGCUCCUUCAUUCUACUCCUCAUUCUCGCCGCAUCUUCCCAUCUUCCCGCAUCAGCAUACAA
This is a long non-coding RNA of Phalaenopsis equestris, 1117 nucleotides long. RefSeq lists it as uncharacterized. The record is from RefSeq and is a predicted model, not a curated record. The transcript is spliced from 3 exons. NCBI's taxonomy places the organism in Eukaryota, Viridiplantae, Streptophyta, Magnoliopsida, Asparagales, Orchidaceae.